RNAcentral lists this ribosomal RNA (250 nucleotides) under uncultured bacterium. RNAcentral's name for it is "partial 16S ribosomal RNA". It matches the Rfam family "Bacterial small subunit ribosomal RNA", at positions 524 to 772 of the family's 1533-position model. The record is from RNAcentral.
UACGUAGGGGGCAAGCGUUGUUCGGAAUUACUGGGCGUAAAGGGCGCGUAGGCGGCAUGGCAAGUCGGGAGUGAAAGCCCGGGGCUCAACCCCGGAACUGCUUUCGAAACUGCCAAGCUAGAGUACGGAAGGGGCAACUGGAAUUCCCAGUGUAGCGGUGAAAUGCGUAGAUAUUGGGAAGAACACCGGCGGCGAAGGCGACUCUCUGGUCCAUAACUGACGCUGAGUGUGCGAAAGCUAGGGGAGCAAA